CAAAGAUGGCGCUGACAUCCAGCCUUGUCUGGAUAUAAACGACUUACUGCGCAUGUGCAGGCUUGUCCCCUUGCUAGGGCUCCCUCUAGUGGUGAACAGCGGUACUGCACAUGUGCGGUUUAUGCACCAGGUGUUAGUUGACCGUUAAUAUGCUAAUGAGGUGAUUCAUUCUCCGCCAAUCCCUGGAGGACAAGUAGUGGGGUGAUCCAUGCCCCACCAAUCCCUGAGAGAUAAUUAGCAUACUGUUGUGUAUAUAAGUCGAGCGACUUUGCUGCUCGAAGUCCCUGCUCAGAAGAGCUGUAACACUGAGAAGAGCUGUAACACUAAGAAGAGCUGUAACACUGAGAAGAGCUGUAACACUGAGAAGAGCUGUAACACUAAGAAGAGCUGUAACACUAAGAAGAGCUGUAACACAGUAAAGGCUUGCUCGCAGAAGAAUCCUGUUGCCGCGAGUCGUUCUUGCUGGCGGGACAUUGGGCGCGCGACAAGUGGUGCCAAAACCCGGGAACCAACAUCGCCGGUGCCGAGGGGACCCUUCAGUGUGCUGAAGAGGAUUCAGAACUGCAAGAAGGUAAAUUAAAAGGUAAGCUUCGAGAGGCAUGCCCCUUUUUGGAAGAGAGCAUGUCAGAAACGGAGCAGAGUGAGAAAUUAGGCUUCCGAGAGGCAUGCCCCUUUUUGGAUUUAAGAGAGCAUGUCAGAAACGGAGCAGAGUGAGAAAUUAGGAGCGCGCAAAAAGAAAAAGGUUACUAAAACAAAAGUGAAAGAGAUACAAAAGGCGGAAGAAACACCGGAGGAAAAAAUAGGUAUGCCCCGGAGGAUGAAGUACAAGUCAUCCGGAGAGGAUACUUUGUAUCCAUUAAAAGAAUUAGAAGCCUUAGAACUGGCUGGCAGUGACUCUGAGCAAGAGUUGUCAGAGUCGGAGGAGGAGGAAUUAGAGGAAGAGGCAGCCCUAUAUGAGGAAGAAAGAUAUGGGCCUAGGUGGAGAGCCACUGUAAAGAAACCUAAAGUUAUGGAUCCUUUGUGGGCAAGGCUGGUAAUUUUGUUUCUUUUUUUCUUUGUGUGGGAUAGAGAAGCCACAGACGGCAAGCUUAAGCCCGGACCAAAACCUCUUUGGCAAAUGGUCCCUGCCUGCUUAUAGGAUAAACGAUGUGAGGAAGCCCUUAGAGCCGUUAGGACAGGUCAGAGGGUCCUUGCAGAGCAACAAGAAAGUAUGUCAGAGGGAGAAAAGGUCUCGAAAGAAAAAAAGAAAAGAAAAGGAGAUAAAAGGAACAGAGAGAAGGCAGAGAUAAAAAAUGGGGUCAGUGCAGCUUUUGUUGUGGCUCAAGUUGAGGCUAUUGCUAGGUAUGUGAUUAGGCUCUGGAAACCUCACAGAGUCAUACUGAUCAGAUUUGAUAGAGGUAGACCGCCUGAAAAUUUAUUCAGGAGAAUCAAACAAAAAGAUAAACUUGAGUGUGCCUACUUGGAUUCCUGGUCUCAAGGAGAUUUAGCAAGUGACAAGGUGCUUCUCUUAAAAAAGCAGUUUCAAUCGGCCCUUGGAGCCUUGCACCUGUAGCUAAGAUAUGUGUAGCCACUUCAAUUUUGUUUUCUGACUGGUUUUAAAUGUAUAAAUAUUCUCUACAUGCCUUGGUUAUGGACUAUUGGCUUUUAAGUUAUUGGAUAUGGUUUAAAAAAUGUAACAUUGAUAACAGAAAGUUGACAUAAAACUGGUAAAAUUUAAAAUAUGCAUAUUUCUGUUGAUACCUGUUCUGGUAUUAUACACGCUACUCUGAUGACUGGUGAAAAGGCUCGUAAUGCCAUUAGCCAUUGCUUAGAGGCAUGGGCAGCCUGGGGGAAAGCCUGAUAGUCUCAAGACAGACAACGGGCCUGCCUAUACUGCUAAGUCUUUUCAGGCAUUUUGCCAGACAAUGCAGGUCAAACAUACUACAGGAUUGCCAUACAAUCCCCAAGGUCAAGGAAUUGUGGAAAGGGUAUGUCGUACCUUAAAAGAGCUUAUACAAACACAAAAAGAGGGAAUUGCCAGCAGCCAAACACCAAAAGAACAACUUUCUUUAGCUCUUUUUACUCUAAAUUUCUUAAUUUUGGAUGUGCAUGGCCGCUCUGCCUCGGAUCACCAUGCUACUACUACACCUAUAACUAAUGCAGAAGUAAAGUGGAAGGAUGUCUUAACUGAUGAAUGGCGUGGCCCAGAUCCCGUGAUUUCGAGAUCUAGGGGAGCGAUUUGUGUUUUUCCGCAGAAUCAAGAAAAUCCAAUUUGGGUACCUGAGCGUUUGACUUGAAAAUUGCCUUCUGCUCUUCCUGAAGAUGAGACUACGAACCCUACUAUUACUACUGGGAAUGAACAAAGAAAUCUCGAAUUAUCUGAAAGGAAACUGGUCCAUGAAAGCAGAGCAACUAUCAAGACAAUUGCUGAUGCAGAUUGCUGUCCUCAACAGCACUAGGCUGGACCCCAUCACAGUUGAAGACUUUACCUCAUGGAUUACCAAUGCUUUCUCCCUUGUUAAGGAGUGGGCGGGCAUGUUUGUCCUGGGGAGCUAUUGUCCUCCUGGGAUGCGGAGUAGGUUUCUGGCUUAUUGGCUGUUUAAAAAGAGAACAUGCCAGACACAAAGUGGUUGUUUACCAGGCUAUGACCACCAUUAAAAAGGGUACUUCUCCCAACAUAUGGCUGGCCUCUUUGAAAGAUCAAGAGUUCGCCCUAGAUCAUUUUUGUCACAGUCAUGUGGAGUCAUUGUAUCCAGGGAUGGGCAACUUUCCUCGAGCUCGGACCAACCCAAGACACGGGGCCCGGUGGCGAUAGGGUAACUCUAUGACGGGUAAGGCCGAGUUUGGAUGAGAACGACGUAAGACAGGAGCAAUGACAAGAUUGACGUGACACCCAGAUCUAGACCAGUCAUUUUAUUAAACAAAAAAGGGGGAGAUGUAAAGAGCGGCGUGGCGAAACAAAGAUGGCGCCGACAUCCAGCCUUGUCUGGAUAUAAACUACUUACUGCGCAUGUGCAGGCUUGUCCCCUUGCUAGGGCUCCCUCUAGUGGUGAACAGCGGUACUGCACAUGUGCGGUUUAUGCACCAGGUGUCAGUUGACCGUUAAUAUGCUAAUGAGGUGAUUCAUUCUCUGCCAAUCCCUGGAGGACAAGUAGUGGGGUGAUCCAUGCCCCACCAAUCCCUGAGAGAUAAUUAGCAUACUGUUGUGUAUAAAAGUCGAGCGACUUUGCUGCUCGAAGUCCCUGUUCAGAAGAGCUGUAACACUGAGAAGAGCUGUAACACUAAGAAGAGCUGUAACACUGAGAAGAGCUGUAACACUGAGAAGAGCUGUAACACUGAGAAGAGCUGUAACACUAAGAAGAGCUGUAACACUAAGAAGAGCUGUAACACAGUAAAGGCUUGCUCGCAGAAGAAUCCUGUUGCCGCGAGUCGUUCUUGCUGGCGGGACAUUGGGCGCGCGACAAGUGGUGCCAAAACCCGGGAACCAACAUUGGGCGCGAGACAGCUAAUAUCCAAAAUAUACAAAGAACUCAAGAAGGUAGGCUCCAAAGAGCCUAUUAAAAAUGGGGUACAGAGCUAAAUAAAAUAUUCUCAGCUGAGGAUUAUCGAAUGGCCAAAAAGCACCUAAAGAAGUGUUCAACAUCCUUAGUCUUCCGGGAACUGCAAAUCAAAACAACCCUGAGAUUCCACCUCACACCAGUCAGAAUGUCUAAGAUUAAAAAACUCAGGUGACAGCAGAUGCUGGCAAGGAUGCGGAGAAAGAGGAACACUCCUCUACUGUUGGUAGGAUUGCAAACUGGUACAACCACUCUGGAAAUCAGUCUGGAGGUUCCUCAGAAAAUUGGACAUUGCACUACCUGAGGACCUAGCUAUACCUCUCUUGGACAUAUACCCAAAAGAUGGUUCAACAUACCACAAAGAUACAUGCUCCACUACGUUGAUAGCAGCCUUAUUUAUAAUAGCCAGAAGCUGAAAAGAACCCAGAUGCCCUUCAACAGAGGAAUGGAUUAAAAAAAUGUGGUACAUCUACACAAUGGAGUACUACUCAGCUAUCAAAAACAAUGGCUGCAUGAAAUUCAUAGGCAAAUGGAAUGAACUAGAAAAUAUCAUCCUGAGUGAGGUUACUCAAUCACAGAAAAACACACUUGGUAUACACUCAUUGAUAAGUAGAUAUUAGCCAAAAAGCUCAAAUUACCCAAGAUGCAAUCUACAGACCAAAGGAAGCUCAAGAAGAAGGAUGACCAAAAUGCAGAUGCUCCCAUUCCUUCUUAAAAGGGGGAAAUAUUCAUAAGAGGGGAUAUGGAAGCAAAGUUUAAAACAAUGACUAAUGACUCAAGGAAUGGCCAUUCAGAGCCUGACACACAUGUGACCCAUAUAUAUGUGUGUGUGUGUGUGUGUGUGUGUGUGUGUGUGUGUGUGUGUGUGUGUACAUA
Molecule: non-coding RNA, 4412 nt
Organism: Rattus norvegicus (Norway rat)
Lineage: Eukaryota; Metazoa; Chordata; Mammalia; Rodentia; Muridae
Source: RefSeq, a predicted model, not a curated record